This 649-nucleotide ribosomal RNA is filed under the name uncultured bacterium. RNAcentral's name for it is "bacterial SSU rRNA". It matches the Rfam family "Bacterial small subunit ribosomal RNA", at positions 855 to 1504 of the family's 1533-position model. The record is from RNAcentral.
ACGCGUGAAGUUGACCGCCUGGGGAGUACGGCCGCAAGGUUAAAACUCAAAGGAAUUGACGGGGACCCGCACAAGCGGUGGAUGAUGUGGUUUAAUUCGAUGCAACGCGAAAAACCUUACCCACCUUUGACAUGUAUGGAAGAUCGCAGAGACGCGAUUGUGCUCGAAAGAGAGCCAUAACACAGGUGCUGCAUGGCUGUCGUCAGCUCGUGUCGUGAGAUGUUGGGUUAAGUCCCGCAACGAGCGCAACCCUUGCCAUUAGUUGCUACAUUUAGUUGGGCACUCUAAUGGGACUGCCGGUGACAAACCGGAGGAAGGUGGGGAUGACGUCAAGUCCUCAUGGCCCUUAUAGGUGGGGCUACACACGUCAUACAAUGGCUGGUACAAAGGGUUGCCAACCCGCGAGGGGGAGCUAAUCCCAUAAAGCCAGUCGUAGUCCGGAUCGUAGUCUGCAACUCGACUACGUGAAGUCGGAAUCGCUAGUAAUCGUGGAUCAGAAUGUCACGGUGAAUACGUUCCCGGGUCUUGUACACACCGCCCGUCACACCAUGGGAGCGGGUCUCGCCAGAAGUAGUUAGCCUAACCGCAAGGAGGGCGAUUACCACGGCGGGGUUCGUGACUGGGGUGAAGUCGUAACAAGGUAACCAAG